ACCUCAUUGGCUCAGGGCGAAGAGCGUCUGUCUAGUAAAGAGAAAGUAGUUGGUUCGAUUCCAGCAUAAGGCA
RNAcentral lists this transfer RNA (73 nucleotides) under Angiostrongylus costaricensis. It matches the Rfam family "tRNA". From Rfam's summary of the family: Transfer RNA (tRNA) molecules are approximately 80 nucleotides in length. Their secondary structure includes four short double-helical elements and three loops (D, anti-codon, and T loops). Further hydrogen bonds mediate the characteristic L-shaped molecular structure. tRNAs have two regions of fundamental functional importance: the anti-codon, which is responsible for specific mRNA codon recognition, and the 3' end, to which the tRNAs corresponding amino acid is attached (by aminoacyl-tRNA synthetases). tRNAs cope with the degeneracy of the genetic code in two manners: having more than one tRNA (with a specific anti-codon) for a particular amino acid; and 'wobble' base-pairing, i.e. permitting non-standard base-pairing at the 3rd anti-codon position. The record is from Rfam by way of RNAcentral. Lineage: Eukaryota; Metazoa; Nematoda; Chromadorea; Rhabditida; Metastrongylidae.